Molecule: long non-coding RNA, 1096 nt
Organism: Meriones unguiculatus (Mongolian gerbil)
Lineage: Eukaryota; Metazoa; Chordata; Mammalia; Rodentia; Muridae
Exons: 2
Source: RefSeq, a predicted model, not a curated record
GAGCACCGCUCAGCCCGGUUUCUACACAGCCCACAGGGACAGCUGAGGCCUCUGGGGUAAGGGGCAGAAGUGAGUCCUUGUGGGACGGGAGGGGACAUAAAUAGGCUCCUUGCCUCCCCUCAGGUCUGGACCCAGGUCCCUAGCUCGUCGCAGAAGGAGCCUUAACUCUGCACCCCCACAUCCAUGCUCUGGGAGGCAAGGCUGCCCUGGGAGCCAGCCCAGCCCUCUGGCUGGCUCUCUCUUCAGCUCAAGUGCAAAGUCUGCCACGUAAGCUGUGAGCCAACCCUACAAAGAGGAACUGAGACAGCUGGUCUAAGCUGCAUUGCCGCGGCCCCUUCAGAGGAAACUCAAAGGAACAGUCACACCUGCCUCCCGAGAUGCCUGCAGGUCUACUGACUGGGGAAGCCUGACCCUGGCAAAGACUGAAGAGGGUCAUGAUCUUUGCCAGCUGCAGACAGUUUAAUCCAGGGAACUCUGAGAAGGAAUAACUGCCAGGACCCUGAGAGGGCCUGCAGAGGCUGCUGCUGCCCACCGCUGCUGCUGGUUCAUCCUGCUGCUGUGGUUGCUAUUGCUGGUUUGCUGGCCUGCCAGACUGCCGGAUAUCCUCGCCACAAAGAUUGGACUUUCCCCCCAGGAACUACUUCCCUAAACAGCAGAGAGCAGUAAAGAGACAAACGCUGCCCCUGUCCCUUCUAACCUUUUUCUCCUACCUAGUGUUGGGGUUUGGAAGGUAUUGGGGUAGUUAAGAGUCGGAAGGGAUUGACCAUCUUACCCUAGAAUCUCCUUCUUGUUUGGCUUCUUUAGGUGUAUAAAUUUUAGUAUAUUUAUCCUGUCUUAUAUAUAGGUCUAGAAUCUACUUAUAAGUGUUUACCAUGUGUAUCUUUCUGCUUCUGGGAUACCUCACUCAGGAUGAUAUUUUCUAGAUCCCACCAUUUGCCUGCAAAUUUCAUGAUUUCCUUGUUUUUAAUUGCUGAGUAAUAUUCCAUUGUGUAAAUGUACCACAGUUUCUGUAUCCAUUCUUCAGUUGAGGGGCAUCUGGGUUGUUUCCAGAUUCUGGCUAUUACAAAUAAAGCUGCUAUGAACAUGGUUGAACAAA